GAUGAACGCUGGCGGCGUGCUUAACACAUGCCAGUCGAACGGAAAGGCGCUGCGUUUGUUGGUUUCUCGAUUGGCGAACAGGGGAGUAACACAUGAGUAACCUGCCCUUGACUGUGUGAUAACUUCAGGGAACUGCGGCUAAUACCCGGUAUAAUAUCCUGCUGCGUGUUGGUGGUUGGAGAGUUUCGGCGUUGGUGUAUGGACUGGCGGGUUAUCAGCUGGUUUGGGGGGUAGGGGCUGACCAAGGCUUUGACGGAUAGCCGGCCUGAGAGGGUGACCGGGCACCAUGGGCCUGAGAUAGGGCCCAGAAUCCUACGGGAGGCAGCAGGGGGGAAUAUUGCACAAUGGGCGGAAGCCUGAUGCAGAAACGCCGCGUGCGGGAUGCCGGCCUUCGGGUUGUAAACCGAUUUCGAAUGUGACGAAGAGUGAGUGACGGUAAUGGGUAAAGAAGCAACGGCUAACUACGUG
Molecule: ribosomal RNA, 468 nt
Filed under: uncultured bacterium
Lineage: Bacteria
Description: partial 16S ribosomal RNA
Rfam family: Bacterial small subunit ribosomal RNA
Source: RNAcentral